GGUCCGUGGCUCUGAGGUAGAGCGCUCGCCUAGCACAUGAGAGGUCCUGGGUUCUAUACUCAGCACCA
Molecule: transfer RNA, 68 nt
Filed under: Marmota monax (woodchuck)
Lineage: Eukaryota; Metazoa; Chordata; Mammalia; Rodentia; Sciuridae
Description: tRNA.Ala
Source: RNAcentral